GGACAGGUGACCGAGUGGUUAAGGUGCUAGCUUCAGGACUUCAAGAGUCUGCUAGUGGAGUUUCUCCGCGCGAGUUCGAGUCUCGUCCUGUUCA
Non-coding RNA from Didymella keratinophila, 94 nucleotides. The record is from the annotation of a GenBank genome assembly. Lineage: Eukaryota; Fungi; Ascomycota; Dothideomycetes; Pleosporales; Didymellaceae.